GUGAGGAAUAUUGGUCAAUGGGCGCAAGCCUGAACCAGCCAUGCCGCGUGAAGGAAUGAGGCCCUAUGGGUCGUAAACUUCUUUUGUGGUGGAGCAAUAAGGUGCACGUGUGCAUCGAUGAGAGUACAUCACGAAUAAGCAUCGGCUAACUCCGUGCCAGCAGCCGCGGUAAUACGGAGGAUGCAAGCGUUAUCCGGAUUUAUUGGGUUUAAAGGGUGCGUAGGCUGUUCGACAAGUCAGGGGUGAAAGCCCAGUGCCUAACACUGGAACUGCCUUUGAUACUGCCGAGCUGGAAUACGGAUGCCGUGGGAGGAAUGAGUAGUGUAGCGGUGAAAUGCAUAGAUAUUACUCAGAACACCGAUUGCGAAGGCAUCUCACGAAUCCGUCAUUGACGCUGAGGCACGAAAGCGUGGGGAUCAAACAGG
Molecule: ribosomal RNA, 425 nt
Filed under: uncultured rumen bacterium
Lineage: Bacteria
Description: bacterial SSU rRNA
Rfam family: Bacterial small subunit ribosomal RNA
Source: RNAcentral